Perognathus longimembris pacificus (Pacific pocket mouse) is the source of this 104-nucleotide small nuclear RNA. NCBI's taxonomy places the organism in Eukaryota, Metazoa, Chordata, Mammalia, Rodentia, Heteromyidae. The record is from RefSeq and is a predicted model, not a curated record.
GUGCUCACUUUGACAGCACAUAUACUAAUAUUGGAAUUAUAGAGACUAUUAGCAUGGCCCCUGCUAAGGAUGACAUGAAAAUUCGUGAAGCAUUCCAUAUUUUU